GAGGAGGGAGGAGGGCGGAUGCCAGCGGUUGGAAUGGCGACGGCGAAUGGCGUUGCUUGACGGACGGCGAAUGGCUGCCGGCUGGUGGCUGGAAUCACGACUUCGCGAGGAGGGGUAGGGGAAGAAACGGCUGAAGGGGAGUCAGGGGACUGAACGGCUGUGUUAGGGGCGUAGGGUAAUCAGGGUUUAGGUUUAGCUUAAUAUUAGACUUUGGGCCUUAUUGUCUGGGCCUAUUU
RNAcentral lists this long non-coding RNA (236 nucleotides) under Salvia miltiorrhiza (redroot sage). RNAcentral describes it as "long non-coding RNA (SMIL_LNC002758)". The record is from RNAcentral. Lineage: Eukaryota; Viridiplantae; Streptophyta; Magnoliopsida; Lamiales; Lamiaceae.